GACGAACGCUGGCGGCGUGCUUAACACAUGCAAGUCGAACGGAAAGGCCCUGCUUUUGUGGGGUGCUCGAGUGGCGAACGGGUGAGUAACACGUGAGUAACCUGCCCUUGACUUUGGGAUAACUUCAGGAAACUGGGGCUAAUACCGGAUAGGAGCUCCUGCUGCAUGGUGGUGGUUGGAAAGUUUCGGCGGUUGGGGAUGGACUCGCGGCUUAUCAGCUUGUUGGUGGGGUAGUGGCUUACCAAGGCUUUGACGGGUAGCCGGCCUGAGAGGGUGACCGGCCACAUUGGGACUGAGAUACGGCCCAGACUCCUACGGGAGGCAGCAGUGGGGAAUAUUGCACAAUGGGCGGAAGCCUGAUGCAGCAACGCGGCGUGCGGGAUGACGGCCUUCGGGUUGUAAACCGCUUUCGCCUGUGACGAAGCGUGAGUGACGGUAAUGGGUAAAGAAGCACCGGCUAACUACGUG
RNAcentral lists this ribosomal RNA (468 nucleotides) under uncultured bacterium. Its description in RNAcentral is "partial 16S ribosomal RNA". It matches the Rfam family "Bacterial small subunit ribosomal RNA", at positions 28 to 507 of the family's 1533-position model. The record is from RNAcentral.